This 832-nucleotide ribosomal RNA is filed under the name Staphylococcus aureus. RNAcentral describes it as "partial 23S ribosomal RNA". It matches the Rfam family "Bacterial large subunit ribosomal RNA", at positions 1 to 830 of the family's 2925-position model. The record is from RNAcentral. Lineage: Bacteria; Bacillati; Bacillota; Bacilli; Caryophanales; Staphylococcaceae.
GAUUAAGUUAUUAAGGGCGCACGGUGGAUGCCUUGGCACUAGAAGCCGAUGAAGGACGUUACUAACGACGAUAUGCUUUGGGGAGCUGUAAGUAAGCUUUGAUCCAGAGAUUUCCGAAUGGGGAAACCCAGCAUGAGUUAUGUCAUGUUAUCGAUAUGUGAAUACAUAGCAUAUCAGAAGGCACACCCGGAGAACUGAAACAUCUUAGUACCCGGAGGAAGAGAAAGAAAAUUCGAUUCCCUUAGUAGCGGCGAGCGAAACGGGAAGAGCCCAAACCAACAAGCUUGCUUGUUGGGGUUGUAGGACACUCUAUACGGAGUUACAAAGGACGACAUUAGACGAAUCAUCUGGAAAGAUGAAUCAAAGAAGGUAAUAAUCCUGUAGUCGAAAAUGUUGUCUCUCUUGAGUGGAUCCUGAGUACGACGGAGCACGUGAAAUUCCGUCGGAAUCUGGGAGGACCAUCUCCUAAGGCUAAAUACUCUCUAGUGACCGAUAGUGAACCAGUACCGUGAGGGAAAGGUGAAAAGCACCCCGGAAGGGGAGUGAAAUAGAACCUGAAACCGUGUGCUUACAAGUAGUCAGAGCCCGUUAAUGGGUGAUGGCGUGCCUUUUGUAGAAUGAACCGGCGAGUUACGAUUUGAUGCAAGGUUAAGCAGUAAAUGUGGAGCCGUAGCGAAAGCGAGUCUGAAUAGGGCGUUUAGUAUUUGGUCGUAGACCCGAAACCAGGUGAUCUACCCUUGGUCAGGUUGAAGUUCAGGUAACACUGAAUGGAGGACCGAACCGACUUACGUUGAAAAGUGAGCGGAUGAACUGAGGGUAGCGGAGAAAUUCC